Molecule: non-coding RNA, 186 nt
Organism: Vicia faba (fava bean)
Lineage: Eukaryota; Viridiplantae; Streptophyta; Magnoliopsida; Fabales; Fabaceae
Source: the annotation of a GenBank genome assembly
AUGCGAAACAAUACAGCAUUUCAUUUAGGGAUGGCAACGGGUCGGGUCGGGUGCGGGUUUCACACUACCCGCACCCGCACCCGAAAUCAUCACCCGAACCCGAACCCGAACCCGAAGGCUAUUCGGGUGACAAAAUCACACCCGCGCCCGCACCCGUUGGGUUCGGGUUUUUUCACCCAAACCUGA